RNAcentral lists this ribosomal RNA (533 nucleotides) under uncultured Bacillota bacterium. RNAcentral's name for it is "bacterial SSU rRNA". It matches the Rfam family "Bacterial small subunit ribosomal RNA", at positions 8 to 522 of the family's 1533-position model. The record is from RNAcentral. Lineage: Bacteria; Bacillati; Bacillota.
AGAGUUUGAUCAUGGCUCAGGAUGAACGCUGGCGGCGUGCCUAAUACAUGCAAGUCGAGCGAACUGAUUAGAAGCUUGCUUCUAUGACGUUAGCGGCGGACGGGUGAGUAACACGUGGGCAACCUGCCUGUAAGACUGGGAUAACUUCGGGAAACCGAAGCUAAUACCGGAUAGGAUCUUCUCCUUCAUGGGAGAUGAUUGAAAGAUGGUUUCGGCUAUCACUUGCAGAUGGGCCCGCGGUGCAUUAGCUAGUUGGUGAGGUAACGGCUCACCAAGGCAACGAUGCAUAGCCGACCUGAGAGGGUGAUCGGCCACACUGGGACUGAGACACGGCCCAGACUCCUACGGGAGGCAGCAGUAGGGAAUCUUCCGCAAUGGACGAAAGUCUGACGGAGCAACGCCGCGUGAGUGAUGAAGGCUUUCGGGUCGUAAAACUCUGUUGUUAGGGAAGAACAAGUACAAGAGUAACUGCUUGUACCUUGACGGUACCUAACCAGAAAGCCACGGCUAACUACGUGCCAGCAGCCGCGGUA